CAGCAACCCCCGCAAAAGACUGCUCAGAUAAAAACGAUUUUUUCAAUAGCAAGAAACAGAUCAUGAAAGUGGCUAAGAACCCCUCCAUAAACCAACCAACCAACAAAACUCCCUUCUCAAUAACAGAAAGCAAUAGAGAGAGGGAAAUGCCUGCAAGACACAGAGAGGACAAAAGGAAGGCGAGGGACAGAAACAAAGACACACCAUUCUUCUAACCAGCUGUCCUUCUUCUGUCCUGUCCCCACCGCACCCUGUCUUCUUGAGGAACAGCUCAGAGGAAAGAAGAACAAAUGGUGCUGGAAACAGUGCAAGGAAAUUGGAAGGCCGCUGCUGUUCCUCUCUUGGCAGAGAGAAUAGGAAAAGAACUAGCUGCAG
Molecule: long non-coding RNA, 375 nt
Organism: Hemicordylus capensis (graceful crag lizard)
Lineage: Eukaryota; Metazoa; Chordata; Lepidosauria; Squamata; Cordylidae
Exons: 3
Source: RefSeq, a predicted model, not a curated record